GUUCCCGGGGAACAAGCCAUCAGCUGACAAAUGGAUGCUCCAGGUGCUCAAGGCAGGAUGGAUGAAAAUUAUAACCUCUUACCUCAUGGAGUUAAUUUCCAAGGUGCCAUCUUCUGAGACACUCAAGAGAACAGAAGAAGGUUUUCUAGCUCGUUCCAGUUUUCAAAUCGUUCCCAAGGGCAGCAACUGGUGACUUUUUCCAGUGACUGGGAGAUCCAAGAAGAAAAUAGG
Molecule: long non-coding RNA, 231 nt
Filed under: Sus scrofa (pig)
Lineage: Eukaryota; Metazoa; Chordata; Mammalia; Artiodactyla; Suidae
Description: lncRNA (ENSSSCG00060002882.1)
Source: RNAcentral